AGUCGGACGGGUAACAUGGUGUGCUUGCACACUGAUGACAAGUGGCGGACGGGCGAGUAACGCGUAGGAAUCUGGCUAUGAGAGGGGGACAACCAUUGGAAACGAUGGCUAAUACCGCAUGAUACCUUCGGGUCAAAAGUGGCUACUUGUAGCUGCUGCUCAUAGAUGAGCCUGCGUUAGAUUAGCUAGUUGGUGAGGUAAAGGCUCACCAAGGCCGCGAUCUAUAGCUGUUCUGAGAGGAAGAUCAGCCGCACUGGGACUGAGACACGGCCCAGACUCCUACGGGAGGCAGCAGUGGGGAAUAUUGGACAAUGGGCGGAAGCCUGAUCCAGCAAUACCACGUGUGUGAAGAAGGCCUUAGGGUUGUAAAGCACUUUCAGAUGGGAGGAAGGCUGUUAGGUUAAGAGCUAAAUAGUUUGACGUUACCAUCAGAAGAAGCACCGGCUAACUCCGUGCCAGCAGCCGCGGUAAUACGGAGGGUGCGAGCGUUAAUCGGAAUUACUGGGCGUAAAGGGUUCGUAGGCGGUUAUAUAAGUCAGAUGUGAAAUCCCUGGGCUCAACCUAGGAACUGCAUUUGAAACUGUGUAACUAGAGUAUAGUAGAGGAGAGGGGAAUUUCCGGUGUAGCGGUGAAAUGCGUAGAUAUCGGAAGGAACAUCAGUGGCGAAGGCGACUCUCUGGACUAAUACUGACGCUGA
Molecule: ribosomal RNA, 697 nt
Filed under: uncultured bacterium
Lineage: Bacteria
Description: bacterial SSU rRNA
Rfam family: Bacterial small subunit ribosomal RNA
Source: RNAcentral